RNAcentral lists this ribosomal RNA (531 nucleotides) under Hynobius kimurae (Hida salamander). Its description in RNAcentral is "partial large subunit ribosomal RNA". It matches the Rfam family "Bacterial large subunit ribosomal RNA", at positions 1854 to 2592 of the family's 2925-position model. The record is from RNAcentral. Lineage: Eukaryota; Metazoa; Chordata; Amphibia; Caudata; Hynobiidae.
CUGCCUGCCCAGUGACACUAAGUUUAACGGCCGCGGUAUUAUGACCGUGCAAAGGUAGCGUAAUCACUUGUCUUUUAAAUAAAGACCAGUAUGAAUGGCAAGACGAAAGUUCAACUGUCUCCCUAAAUUAAUCAAUGAAAUUGAUUUUUCCGUGCAGAAGCGGAAAUAUAAUUAUAAGACGAGAAGACCCUAUGGAGCUUUAAACAUAUGAUCAAUUGCGUAACAUAAAAUCCAAAAGAUAAAAUAUUUAAUAUAACAAUAUGAUCAAAAUUUUAGGUUGGGGUGACCACGGAGAAAAACAAAACCUCCGAGAUGAAGAGAAUAUCUUAAUUCAAGAACUACAAUUCUAAAAAAUAAAAUAUUUAACAUAAUUGAUCCAAUACUUUGAUCAACGAACCAAGUUACCCUAGGGAUAACAGCGCAAUCCUCUCCAAGAGUCCCUAUCGACGAGCGGGUUUACGACCUCGAUGUUGGAUCAGGACACCCCAAUGGUGCAGCCGCUAUUAAAGGUUCGUUUGUUCAACGAUUAAA